GGCAGACGGGUGAGUAACAUGUACGUAUCUGCCCUUUGGCCUGGAAUAACACGAGGAAACUUGUGCUAAUACCGGAUAAGUCUUUACGGAGAAAGCUUUAUGCACCAUUGGAUGAGCCUGCACUUGAUUAGUUUGUUGGUGGGGUAAUGGCCUACCAAGACUGUGAUCAAUAGCUGAUUUGAGAGGAUGAUCAGCCACAUUGGGACUGAGACACGGCCCAAACUCCUACGGGAGGCAGCAGUGGGGAAUCUUGCACAAUGGAGGAAACUCUGAUGCAUCUAUGCCGCGUGAGUGAAAAAAGCCUUUGGGUUGUAAAGCUCUU
RNAcentral lists this ribosomal RNA (322 nucleotides) under uncultured marine bacterium. RNAcentral describes it as "bacterial SSU rRNA". It matches the Rfam family "Bacterial small subunit ribosomal RNA", at positions 97 to 435 of the family's 1533-position model. The record is from RNAcentral.